Molecule: ribosomal RNA, 468 nt
Filed under: uncultured bacterium
Lineage: Bacteria
Description: partial 16S ribosomal RNA
Rfam family: Bacterial small subunit ribosomal RNA
Source: RNAcentral
GACGAACGCUGGCGGCGUGCUUAACACAUGCAAGUCGAACGGACAGGCCCUGCUUUUGGGGGGUGCUCGAGUGGCGAACGGGUGGGUAACACGUGAGUAACCUGCCCUUGACUUUGGGAUAACUUCAGGAAAAUAGGGCUAAUACCAGAUAGGAGCUCCUGCUGCAUGGUGGGGGUUAGAAAGAUUCGGCGGUUGGGUGUGGCCUCGAGGCUUAUCAGCUUGUCGGUGGGGUAGUGGCGUACCAAGGCUUUGACGGGUAGCCGGCCUGUGGGGGUGACCGGCCCCAUUGGGACUGAGGUAGGGCCCAGACUCCAACGGGAGGCAGCAGUGGGGAAUAUUGCGCAAUGGGCGGAAUCCUGAUGCAGCAACGCCGCGUGCGGGAUGACGGCUUUCGGGUUGUAAACCGCUUUCGCCUGUGACGAAGCGUGAGUGACGGUAAUGGGUAAAGAAGCACCGGCUAACUACGUG